AUGUUACCUCCGCCAAGUUUGCCGGCAGAAGAAGCACAUCCAUUGAGCCGUUCAAUGUCGCCUGCGGUGGCUACACCAGAGGCAUGCAACAUUGUUGAAGGGCAAAGGUACUCUAAGAAGCUGAAUGAUAAACAGGUCACCAACAUACUUAGAGCUUCCUUGGGUUUGUGGAGGACAUGUCUGGUUUCACAAAGUCAGUUUCACUUUCACGAAGACAGUGGAAAUGCAGAAAAAGGAAAGCAUGUGGAUUUAGAAAUUUCAGCAUUGUAG
RNAcentral lists this ribosomal RNA (270 nucleotides) under Triticum aestivum (bread wheat). RNAcentral describes it as "partial small subunit ribosomal RNA". The record is from RNAcentral. Lineage: Eukaryota; Viridiplantae; Streptophyta; Magnoliopsida; Poales; Poaceae.